CCUACGGGCGGCAGCAGUGGGGAAUAUUGGGCAAUGGGCGCAAGCCUGACCCAGCAACGCCGCGUGAAGGAAGAAGGCUUUCGGGUUGUAAACUUCUUUUAAGAGGGAAGAGCAGAAGACGGUACCUCUUGAAUAAGCCACGGCUAACUACGGGCCAGCAGCCGCGGUAAUACGUAGGUGGCAAGCGUUGUCCGGAUUUACUGGGGGUAAAGGGCGUGUAGCCGGGCUGACCAGUCAGAUGUGAAAUCCCGUGGCUCAACCACGGACCUGCAGUUGAAACUGGCGGUCUUGAGUACCGGAGAGGCAGGCGGAAUGCGUGGUGUAGCGGUGAAAUGCGUAGAUAUUAGGAGGAACCCCAGUGGCGAAGGCGGCGUGCUGGACGACAACUGACGGUGAGGCGCGAAAGCGUGGGGAGCGAACAGGAUUAGAUACCCGGGUAGUC
Molecule: ribosomal RNA, 442 nt
Filed under: uncultured bacterium
Lineage: Bacteria
Description: partial 16S ribosomal RNA
Rfam family: Bacterial small subunit ribosomal RNA
Source: RNAcentral